CUACGGGUUGCACCAGUGAGGAAUAUUGCACAAUGGGGGGAACCCUGAUGCAGCAACGCCGCGUGGAGGAUGACGCAUUUCGGUGUGUAAACUCCUUUUAUAUGUCAAGAAAAUGACGGUAGCAUAUGAAUAAGCACCGGCUAACUCCGUGCCAGCAGCCGCGGUAAUACGGAGGGUGCAAGCGUUACUCGGAAUCACUGGGCGUAAAGGACGCGUAGGCGGGUUGGAAAGUCAGGUGUGAAAUCCUACAGCUUAACUGUAGAACUGCACUUGAAACUUCUAAUCUAGAGUAUGGGAGGGGGAGAUGGAAUUAGUGGUGUAGGGGUAAAUCCGUAGAUAUCACUAGGAAUACCUAAAGCGAAGGCGAUCUCCUGGAACAUUACUGACGCUAAGGCGUGAAAGCAUGGGGAGCAAACAGGAUUAGAUACCCGCGUAGUC
Molecule: ribosomal RNA, 438 nt
Filed under: uncultured bacterium
Lineage: Bacteria
Description: partial 16S ribosomal RNA
Rfam family: Bacterial small subunit ribosomal RNA
Source: RNAcentral